GUAGGGAAUCUUCCACAAUGGACGAAAGUCUGAUGGAGCAACGCCGCGUGAGUGAAGAAGGUCUUCGGAUCGUAAAACUCUGUUGUUAGAGAAGAACGUGCAUGAUAGUAACUGAUCAUGUAAUGACGGUAUCUAACCAGAAAGCCACGGCUAACUACGUGCCAGCAGCCGCGGUAAUACGUAGGUGGCAAGCGUUGUCCGGAUUUAUUGGGCGUAAAGGGAACGCAGGCGGUUUUUUAAGUCUGAUGUGAAAGCCUUCGGCUUAACCGAAGAAUAGCAUUGGAAACUGGAAGACUAGAGUGCAGAAGAGGAGAGUGGAAGUCCAUGUGUAGCGGUGAAAUGCGUAGAUAUAUGGAGGAACACCAGUGGCGAAAGCGGCUCUCUGGUCUGUAACUGACGCUGAGGUUCGAAAGCGUGGGUAGCAAACAGGAUUAGAAACCCCAGUAGUCC
Molecule: ribosomal RNA, 450 nt
Filed under: uncultured bacterium
Lineage: Bacteria
Description: partial 16S ribosomal RNA
Rfam family: Bacterial small subunit ribosomal RNA
Source: RNAcentral